UACGAAGGGGGCUAGCGUUGUUCGGAAUUACUGGGCGUAAAGCGCGUGUAGGCGGGCCGUUAAGUCGGGGGUGAAAGCCCGGGGCUCAACUCUGGAACUGCCUUCGAUACUGGCGGUCUCGAGCCAGAGAGAGGUGAGUGGAAUUCCGAGUGUAGAGGUGAAAUUCGUAGAUAUUAGGAAGAACACCAGUGGCGAAGGCGGCUCACUGGCUCGGUGCUGACGCUGAGGCGCGAAAGCGUGGGGAGCAAACAGG
Molecule: ribosomal RNA, 253 nt
Filed under: uncultured bacterium
Lineage: Bacteria
Description: partial 16S ribosomal RNA
Rfam family: Bacterial small subunit ribosomal RNA
Source: RNAcentral